AUUGAACGCUGGCGGCAUGCUUUACACAUGCAAGUCGAACGGCAGCGCGGGCUUCGGCCUGGCGGCGAGUGGCGAACGGGUGAGUAAUACAUCGGAACGUGCCCAGUAGUGGGGGAUAGCUCGGCGAAGGCCGGAUUAAUACCGCAUACGACCUGAGGGUGAAAGCGGGGGAUCUUCGGACCUCGCGCUAGUGGAGCGGCCGAUGGCAGAUUAGAUAGUUGGUGGGGUAAAGGCCUACCAAGGCGGCGAUCUGUAGCUGGUCUGAGAGGACGACCAGCCACACUGGGACUGAGACACGGCCCAGACUCCUACGGGAGGCAGCAGUGGGGAAUUUUGGACAAUGGGCGAAAGCCUGAUCCAGCAAUGCCGCGUGUGUGAUGAAGGCCUUCGGGUUGUAAAGCACUUUUGGCGGGAACGAAAAGGACUGUGCCAAUACCACGGUUCGAUGACGGUACCCGCAGAAUAAGCACCGGCUAACUACGUG
This 484-nucleotide ribosomal RNA is filed under the name uncultured bacterium. RNAcentral describes it as "partial 16S ribosomal RNA". It matches the Rfam family "Bacterial small subunit ribosomal RNA", at positions 29 to 507 of the family's 1533-position model. The record is from RNAcentral.